GUUCUCUUUGGAGGCUCAUAUGCUAAAAUUGGAAUGAUACCCCAAAGUUUAGCAUGGCCCCCGAGUGAGGGUUACAUGUGUAUUUAUGAAGCACUCCAUAUUAAA
Molecule: small nuclear RNA, 105 nt
Organism: Talpa occidentalis (Iberian mole)
Lineage: Eukaryota; Metazoa; Chordata; Mammalia; Eulipotyphla; Talpidae
Source: RefSeq, a predicted model, not a curated record